This 504-nucleotide ribosomal RNA is filed under the name uncultured bacterium. RNAcentral's name for it is "bacterial SSU rRNA". It matches the Rfam family "Bacterial small subunit ribosomal RNA", at positions 16 to 507 of the family's 1533-position model. The record is from RNAcentral.
AUCCUGGCUCAGGAUGAACGCUAGCUACAGGCUUAACACAUGCAAGUCGAGGGGAAACGAUAUUGGAAGCUUGCUUCCGAUAGGCGUCGACCGGCGCACGGGUGAGUAACGCGUAUCCAACCUGCCCAUCACUUGGGGAUAACCUUGCGAAAGUAAGACUAAUACCCAAUGACGUCUCUAGAAGACAUCUGAAAGAGAUUAAAGAUUUAUCGGUGAUGGAUGGGGAUGCGUCUGAUUAGCUUGUUGGCGGGGUAACGGCCCACCAAGGCGACGAUCAGUAGGGGUUCUGAGAGGAAGGUCCCCCACAUUGGAACUGAGACACGGUCCAAACUCCUACGGGAGGCAGCAGUGAGGAAUAUUGGUCAAUGGACGAGAGUCUGAACCAGCCAAGUAGCGUGCAGGAAGACGGCCCUAUGGGUUGUAAACUGCUUUUAUAAGGGAAUAAAGUGAGUCUCGUGAGACUUUUUGCAUGUACCUUAUGAAUAAGGACCGGCUAAUUCCGUG